GACGAACGCUGGCGGCGUGCUUAACACAUGCAAGUCGAACGGAAAGGCCCCUUCGGGGGUACUCGAGUGGCGAACGGGUGAGUAACACGUGAGUAACCUGCCCUUGACUUCGGGAUAACUUCAGGAAACUGGGGCUAAUACCGGAUAGGAAUCCUUGCUGCAUGGUGGGGGUUGGAAAGCUUCGGCGGUUUUGGAUGGACUCGCGGCUUAUCAGCUUGUUGGUGGGGUAGUGGCUUACCAAGGCUUUGACGGGUAGCCGGCCUGAGAGGGCGACCGGCCACAGUGGGACUGAGAUACGGCCCAGACUCCUACGGGAGGCAGCAGUGGGGAAUAUUGCACAAUGGGCGGAAGCCUGAUGCAGCAACGCCGCGUGCGGGAUGACGGACUUCGGGUUGUAAACCGCUUUCAGCAGGGGCGAAGCUUGUGGUGACGGUACCUGCAGAAGAAGCACCGGCUAACUACGUG
RNAcentral lists this ribosomal RNA (465 nucleotides) under uncultured bacterium. RNAcentral's name for it is "partial 16S ribosomal RNA". It matches the Rfam family "Bacterial small subunit ribosomal RNA", at positions 28 to 507 of the family's 1533-position model. The record is from RNAcentral.